Molecule: ribosomal RNA, 265 nt
Filed under: uncultured archaeon
Lineage: Archaea
Description: partial 16S ribosomal RNA
Rfam family: Archaeal small subunit ribosomal RNA
Source: RNAcentral
AGUCACUGACAUUAGACUACCCCCGUAGUCCCAGCCGUAAACUAUGCGCGUUAGGUGUAUCGGUGACCACGAGUCACCGAGGUGCCGAAGGGAAACCGUGAAACGUGCCGCUUGGGAAGUACGGUCGCAAGGCUGAAACUUAAAGGAAUUGGCGGGGAGCACCACAACGGGUGGAGCCUGCGGUUUAAUUGGACUCAACGCCGGGAAGCUCACCGGAUAAGACAGCGGAAUGAUUGCCGGGCUGAAGACUCUGCAUGACUAGCUG